Molecule: ribosomal RNA, 213 nt
Filed under: uncultured Lachnospiraceae bacterium
Lineage: Bacteria; Bacillati; Bacillota; Clostridia; Lachnospirales; Lachnospiraceae
Description: partial 16S ribosomal RNA
Rfam family: Bacterial small subunit ribosomal RNA
Source: RNAcentral
CGAACCUGGCUCAUAGAGGGGGAGUAACAGAGAGAAAUUUCUGCUAAUACCGCAUAAGCACACACUGCCGCAUGGCAGAGUGCGAAAAGAGAAUCGCUGUGAGAUGGACCCGCGUCUGAUUAGCCAGUUGGCAGGGUAAGAGCCUACCAAAGCGACGAUCAGUAGCCGAUCUGAGAGGAUGAACGGCCACAUUGGGACUGAGACACGGCCCAA